This 385-nucleotide ribosomal RNA is filed under the name Euchone sp. Its description in RNAcentral is "SSU rRNA". It matches the Rfam family "Eukaryotic small subunit ribosomal RNA", at positions 587 to 972 of the family's 1831-position model. The record is from RNAcentral. Lineage: Eukaryota; Metazoa; Annelida; Polychaeta; Sabellida; Sabellidae.
AGCUCCAAUAGCGUAUAUUAAAGUUGUUGCAGUUAAAAAGCUCGUAGUUGGAUCUCGGGUCCGGGCUGGCGGUCCCGUUCGCGCGGGUACUGCCUGUUCCCGACCUACCGGCCGGCACGUCCCUUGGUGCUCUUCACUGAGUGCCUCGGGUGGCCGGCGCGUUUACUUUGAAAAAAUUAGAGUGUUCAAAGCAGGCCGUCGUGCCUGAAUACUGAUGCAUGGAAUAAUGGAAUAGGACCUCGGACUUCUAUUUUGCUGGUUUCUGGAUCUCGAGGUAAUGAUUAAGAGGGACGGCCGGGGGCGUUAGUAUUACGGUGUUAGAGGUGAAAUUCUUGGAUCGCCGUAAGACUCACGGUUGCGAAAGCGUUCGCCAAGAACGUUUUCA